Daphnia magna is the source of this 5432-nucleotide long non-coding RNA. RefSeq lists it as uncharacterized. Lineage: Eukaryota; Metazoa; Arthropoda; Branchiopoda; Diplostraca; Daphniidae. The record is from RefSeq and is a predicted model, not a curated record. The transcript has 18 exons.
CAACGUUUAUUCAGAAAUGGCAACCGUCGGCAUGGGACGGAGGUUGCAACGGCUCAAAUGGACUACAGUUUGUGAAAGUUGGAAAAGUUCCUCGAAAAAGUUUGGUUUUCAGUGUUCACUUUCCAUGCCUCUAGCAAUUAAAGUGAUUUAGAAACAACAUGAAAAACUCAAAAUUUUUUGUUUCGUUAAACAGAUUAACGUCACGUGAUGUUGGCCAAUGGCGACUUGCAAGUUUUGUCUGCGCAUCAAGGCGACGAGAAUCAUUUGUAUCAUUGUCGAGUUCUCGUCCAGCCCAUCAGGCAAACAAUGACCAGUUUCACUGCUGGACGAAUCAUCCUCAGUCAAGAAUCCAGGACAAAGAUGGCACAAGUCAUUGUAGAAACUGUGAAUCGAAUUCGAAGUUUGGCGUGGACGAGAUGCCGUUUUACCUUGUGUUUUUCACGGAUAUCUUCCGCAUAAAAUCAAAUGGUACAAAAGUCAAACGAUUCAGUAUGGCAAUUUGUUGUUGCCACUGGUGACAUCAGCUGCCACGCAAGAGCAUCAUGAUGGAGUGCUGGGACUUGGGCGUCAUCGCCUCAUUGGUGGCACUUUACUCAUCGCUUCCGUCGUCACCGAAGAUCAGGGCAGUUACAUUUGUUUUGUCAACCGUUCCAUUGGAUUAGUCGAAUCACGUACCGAACUCGUUUCUCGUGUCAAAUUACAAGUCAGAAACGUCGAACGUCGUCGUCGCCGCAUAGAAUGCACAGCACAUUUAAGUCGCCGAUCCAGAAACGUCCGUCACCAUCACGUGUCAUUUCUCCGGCCGGUUGUCAGUUGGCUCAAAGAUGGCCAGCGCUUCUUGGUGGGUAAUAGUGGUCGUGUUUCUUCUUCAUCCGGCGACGACGGCUACACCGAUAUGGUCCAGUUAUCCAUUUCGUCCGUCCAACGUGAAGAUGAGGGAAUAUACCAAUGCCUGGCAUCCAAUGACGAAGGAGAUUGGGCCCAAGCAUCGGCCCAGCUGGCCAUUGGAGCAUUUCCUCCUCAUUUGAAAGAAACGUUCAGUCGGCAAGUUGUACAUCCGGGAAGUUCAGUCUCGUUGAAAUGUUUAGCCUCUGGCACUCCGCUGCCUCAUUUCACUUGGACGCUGGACGGGUUUCCGUUAUCGCCCGUUUCCGAACGAUAUUUCCUCGGCCAGCAGCAAAAAACGGGUCACGACGAUCUUGUAGUGGCUCAUCUCAACAUAACCCACGUCCGAGUCGAAGAUGGAGGCAAUUACAAAUGUGUAGCGGAGAAUCGAGUGGGUCGCGUAGAGCAUUCAGCCAAUUUGCAUAUUUACUUCAAUUCAAUGGCAGUUUGACGAUCGAUCCGUUGGAUAAGAGCAGCGACGCCGGUCUUUAUAGUUGCGAGGCGCGUGGCCAGAACGGACUCUCGGCUCGCCAGUCACUUCAACUCAACAUCCUCGCUUUGCGAAAAUAUUGACUCGGCGCCUUUUUCUUUUCCCCCUCCGCCCUGUAAACUUGCUCGGUCGCUGUGUAUACUCUUUGAUGAUGAGAAAGUCCACAGCGCUUUUCUAUCCGGUCUGGAAGCAGAAAAAAAAUUUUAAAAAAAGGAAGCAAUGAAAGCAAAUGAGACAGACCGACUAUAUCGAUCCAGCAGCCAGAAGCCAAUUUAAGUCUUUCCCCUUUUAUUUUUGUGAAAAACAAGAAAAAGGAGAUGAGUUAAGUGGGUAGGAAGGAUAAAUUUAGAAAUUUCUCGACGUUUUUUUUUUUGUUGUUGCUUCCGGUCGCCGGAAUUUCGUAAAAAAAACAAACAAAAAACACAAAAAAAAAACGAUAUUGGAUACAGACGCGCCUCAAUGAGCGAUUCAUGACAAUCACCAUGACAAUGAGCGAUUCGGCCAUGUUGAAUGCCGGCGAGCGAUUGGCUCUUCAAUGCGCCGUAGUUAAAGGUGGAUUGCCGUUGUUCGUCAGCUGGUCGAAAGAUGGCCAAGUGAUUGCACCGACAACUGCAACGACGACGACUAACGUCCGUUUGGUGAACGAAUUCACAGCCACGUUGACGAUUGAAUCGUUGACUGAACAACAUGGUGGAUGGUACGUGUACGUCUGCCGCAAAUAUAUAAUUUCAGUUACAAUAGUGCAAUAGAAAAAAAGUGGUGGAAAUAUUUAUCAGGCUUUAGAGCAGCAUUAGCCUUUGCUAUAUCUCCACAUCAUGUAAAUGGAAAAUCUCUGGAACUUCUUGUUGAGAAAUGAAGCCAUUGUGCAUAUUGCAUCAACCAAGGGCGAAAUGUUACCACAUAUAGGCCAAUGUUACAACUCACUUAUGGUGAUUGUCCAUUCACAUGAAGUCUGUAUGUUGGUACAGUUUAUCAACAGGCAUAAGAGCAUGUUCGGGCAAUAAUUGUGGGAUAGUUUAGGUAGAUUCUUUGCUGCGUCAUAGCUCGGGAGUCGUAACGGGCAAUAUCCUUGUGCAUUAAGUUGGUGAACUCUUGUGUUCCAUUGGGUAAUGCUAUCAAAUCUUAAUGUGCUAUUUGUGAAAGAUUUUAUUAUUCUGUAUGUUUUAAAGGAAAAUAUUUCAAAUUGAUUUAUUUGCAUGUUACGGAGUUGUAUUUUUCUGAUCUGUGGAGCCUGACAUUUUCCACAAUUUCUAUCGGCGAACAAAAUGUCUUUUAGGAUUGGUAGCAGCUUACGAAGCAGUAGGUUCCAACAUCAUCUAACGUCUGCUUUAGUAAUGGCAGGGAUGUGAAUGAUAAUUUGUGAAAUCAAACAACUUAAGCAGGUGCCUAGCUCAACAACUCCUAUGAAAUCUAGAUUGGUGGUGGUAGUUAUAGGGCGCCUGUUCAGGCAACAGUUUCGUUUUUUAAUCCGCCAAGGAUUUAUGCGUUAUUGCGUCUACUGUGUAGCCUGAGUAGCAUACGCAAGGGGGCGUUUAUCUACAUUCCUGAUCACCAAGCAGUUACAAAUAUGUUCUACACUGAUAAGCAUCCGAGGCAAAGGGCGAGCUGAACUAGUCUAUUGCCCCUCAACUCCAGAGGGCACUAGUUUACAGCAACUCGGGCUCACCCUUUGGAGAGUGGAUUCUCAUUUCUUCUUCAUACCAGCGAGCAGAUUUGAGGUUUAAAAUUGUUUUAGGUUGUUAAGCAAGUCUGACUUUCUACGAUGUACAUGGCCGCCAAACUUUGUCGUUAUGUCUGACUGUUAAUCAGUAAGAAAAACGUCGAAUUAUUGACGAUACGUUUGUCAAAAUGGCAAAUACAACGCCUAACGAUUUAAAUCUAACUUGGGAUAAUCUACUUCUCGGACAAGGUACUUUGAGACCGGAUCUAAUUGAGUCCGCUUUCCAUAUGGCUUCUUCGCACACGGUUGCCAUGAAGACUCGUCAUAACGAUUCCGAAAUGGUUCGUCAAUUUCGCAUUCACGGCCGUGUAGUAGAACCUAUUAAAGACUUCCUUAAAGAUGAAGUAAGAGCCUUAGGUCGUGAGCUGGGUUCCUGCACAAUUACUGGAACGUUACCCGUUUCCUGGUCCCGGUUUGUCAAUUUGAAUCAUUUACGCCAAAGAGCCGUUCUUGGAAGCUAAUUUCGAUGAGACGCAAGUGCUGAUUCGUUCGAUGGUCCAUUAUGCCAACAUAGCAGCCAAGGAACAUGCCUUGCUCAAUCGGAUUGAAAUCGUGACGUCGGAAGAAGAACGUCUUCUUCUGGGAGAACUGUCUAGUCGCAACCAGUAUGUUGCCACGCUACUGCCUAUUCGCACUGUCGGUGUUCAGGUAGAUGAUAGGUGCCACCGUAUCUACGCCAAGGUUUUUUUUUUCUCUUGUCUAGAUCUUUUAAUGGCCAGUGGGUCCUUGUGAUCAUGGCCAAUGGCUUGAGCCGGAUACCAACGACUAUGGCACCUGUCGCACUUCGCCUUGCCCAGUAAGCAAAUGCAACGGUCGCCAGAUCUACUGGAAGUCAACACUAAAUUCUGAAGGUGGCUGUUAUAAAUCGUUCACACGUGGGCCUUGCAGGCGAAGUAGCUAUUUCCUCGUUGAAGAAUAUGGCACUCGAAGAGGUCGAUGUGUUUCUCAAUUUGGAUCAUCCUAUGAAUCCUAUGUCCUUCCGUCACGCUAUCCCAGGAUGAGAAACCCUUACGACAUGAUGUACUCUAACAACGCGAUGAGCCCGUGAUCGAAAUUUGGCAUGGAUCCGCCGUUUGGCAUGCAGGAAGAAUAGCGGAGACGACUACCCUGACAUUCUUAGUUUCGAUUACUGAACUAGAAACAGUUUUACAGAACCAUUCACAUGGUUUUGUCUCUAUUAUUUCAUUUUAAAAAUGCGAUUGCAAAUUUUCUAUUGUGACGUAUGGCGGAUAAAAAACAACCUUAACUAGUUUUAAUGCAUGAAUUCGUUAGCCAAUAAUAUGUGUAUGAAGAAAAUGUUUUCACUUUGAAACAGAGUCAUGGAACCCAUCGGUUUCCAUGACUCUGCUUUGAAAGUUUGAACAGGGAUUUCUGUUUUACCUUUCUGCGAUGCGGCAACACAGCAUUGCAUGUCGAUCUGCGAACGUUUGACAACUCGCUGGUAUUGCAAUAGGUUAAUAGUUUUGUGUCAAGUAAAUUUCAAGUGCGAGUAACUGCUGGAAGAUUGCAAGCGAAAUCUGCAUGUGUCGUGUCAUUGUUCUAACUGUUGGAGACUUGUUUCGUUUUGAUUAGGCAUUCAUGUUUGGGAACAAUACCUGAAGUUGGAUAUCGCCUAGUGAUAUUUACAUAUUAAGUUCUAUUUUAAGACACUUGGGGCGAUACGUUUCGCAACAAAGAUCUAUACAGUACUCAAAAGAUGACCCACAAGCACUACGCCACCACGAUUGAGACAAGGUAAAACACAAAACUAUAAAGCGCCAUUUAUCAAUAAUGAAUGAAUUUCCUCAUUCUAACAAUAAUUUAAGAAAAUGUAAAUGUAUACUUAGCUGUGGUAAUUAUUUCGUUUACAUCGACUACACUUCAAUAAUUUACAAGUGGGAAAGUGUUGCCUAUAAGCAACAAGAAGGUAUUGUGCAUGUUUAUGAGCGAAUCAUGGCUUAAUGGGUGAGCAUCGGAUUGUACCGCUGGAUGUUUGUGGAUCAAAUACCAUCAAAGUUUUCUUCACCAUGACAUACUUGGAAUUUAUAUGCCAAUACGUGUAAUCCAUCAAGGACGCUGAAUUUCACAACACCUGAAUGGGAUUCGAACCCAAUGUAUAGAGAAUUCCAGUCCACCGCUCUACCAUUGUGCUAUGAGACAUAUUACUGAGAAAUCUAAGUCUUCAACACAUUAAGGGGGGGUUGCCAGGAAGGUAUCGCAUCCGCCUAGCAGCUCCAAGGUCCGUGGUUCGAUUCCACGGAGGUUCCCGAUGUCCUGGGCUUCCAAUCUUCCACGUCUGCCAGUCGGGUCGAGAAACUUCCCCAUUACGAAGUAAUGGGACGGAUAUUUUGGCGAUGU